RNAcentral lists this transfer RNA (85 nucleotides) under Bacteroidota bacterium. RNAcentral describes it as "Bacteroidetes bacterium (soil metagenome) tRNA-Leu". It matches the Rfam family "tRNA". From Rfam's summary of the family: Transfer RNA (tRNA) molecules are approximately 80 nucleotides in length. Their secondary structure includes four short double-helical elements and three loops (D, anti-codon, and T loops). The record is from RNAcentral. Lineage: Bacteria; Pseudomonadati; Bacteroidota.
GCCCAGGUGGUGGAAUUGGUAGACACGCAGGACUUAAAAUCCUGUGAUCAUUGCGAUCGUAGCGGUUCGACCCCGCUCCCGGGUA